UAGACCGCCUGGGGAGUACGGCCGCAAGGUUAAAACUCAAAUGAAUUGACGGGGGCCCGCACAAGCGGUGGAGCAUGUGGUUUAAUUCGAUGCAACGCGAAGAACCUUACCUGGUCUUGACAUCCACGGAAGUUUUCAGAGAUGAGAAUGUGCCUUCGGGAACCGUGAGACAGGUGCUGCAUGGCUGUCGUCAGCUCGUGUUGUGAAAUGUUGGGUUAAGUCCCGCAACGAGCGCAACCCUUAUCCUUUGUUGCCAGCGGUCCGGCCGGGAACUCAAAGGAGACUGCCAGUGAUAAACUGGAGGAAGGUGGGGAUGACGUCAAGUCAUCAUGGCCCUUACGACCAGGGCUACACACGUGCUACAAUGGCGCAUACAAAGAGAAGCGACCUCGCGAGAGCAAGCGGACCUCAUAAAGUGCGUCGUAGUCCGGAUUGGAGUCUGCAACUCGACUCCAUGAAGUCGGAAUCGCUAGUAAUCGUGGAUCAGAAUGCCACGGUGAAUACGUUCCCGGGCCUUGUACACACCGCCCGUCACACCAUGGGAGUGGGUUGCAAAAGAAGUAGGUAGCUUAACCUUCGGGAGGGCGCUUACCACUUUGUGAUUCAUGACUGGGGUGAAGUCGUAACAAGGUAACCGUAGGGGAACCUGCGGUUGGAUCACCUCCUUA
Molecule: ribosomal RNA, 668 nt
Filed under: Salmonella enterica subsp. enterica serovar Oranienburg
Lineage: Bacteria; Pseudomonadati; Pseudomonadota; Gammaproteobacteria; Enterobacterales; Enterobacteriaceae
Also listed under: 3 other names
Description: partial 16S ribosomal RNA
Rfam family: Bacterial small subunit ribosomal RNA
Source: RNAcentral